GGAAUGGCCGUGCAACAGUGAUCAGCUCCAAGGCUGAGUCCCAGCUCCCCACUGAUAUUCCCUACCCUUCACCCAAACUAGCCAAGUCUGGCAUUUUUUUGGUGGCCCAGGUAGUUGGAGAGGUUGCCAUAUUUGCAGAACUCAACAAUAACCAUGAGUGGACCUGGUGAGAAGACACCAAGGGUCAGGGCAAGAGACGCUGUGAGGUGUGGCUGUGCCAUGGACAUCCACUGACAGAUGUAGAUGACUGAGGAUGCAGGGGACACUGUGGAAGUUGUUGGUGUCUGGGACUACCCAGCCUGGGCAAAACUCCUACACCGAGAACAGGUGUCUCCAUUCUGCCUCCCCAUGAGAGCUCCAGGGAAGAGAAGCAAGGUUGGCAGGAAACCCGUGGGGUCUGCCCAAGGGAACUGGACAACACAGCUUCAACCAGCAAAUAAAACAAG
Molecule: long non-coding RNA, 446 nt
Organism: Lepidothrix coronata (blue-crowned manakin)
Lineage: Eukaryota; Metazoa; Chordata; Aves; Passeriformes; Pipridae
Exons: 4
Source: RefSeq, a predicted model, not a curated record